GCAGUCGAGGGGUAUUGUUCUUCGGAAUGAGAGACCGGCGCACGGGUGCGUAACGCGUAUGCAAUCUACCUUUUACAGAGGGAUAGCCCAGAGAAAUUUGGAUUAAUACCUCAUAGUAUUAUGACUCGGCAUCGAGAUAUAAUUAAAGUCACAACGGUAAAAGAUGAGCAUGCGUCCCAUUAGCUAGUUGGUAAGGUAACGGCUUACCAAGGCUACGAUGGGUAGGGGUCCUGAGAGGGAGAUCCCCCACACUGGUACUGAGACACGGACCAGACUCCUACGGGAGGCAGCAGUGAGGAAUAUUGGACAAUGGGCGCAAGCCUGAUCCAGCCAUGCCGCGUGCAGGAUGACGGUCCUAUGGAUUGUAAACUGCUUUUGCACAGGAAGAAACAACAUUACGUGUAAUGUCUUGACGGUACUGUGAGAAUAAGGAUCGGCUAACUCCGUGCCAGCAGCCGCGGUAAUACGGAGGAUCCAAGCGUUAUCCGGAAUCAUUGGGUUUAAAGGGUCCGUAGGCGGUUUAGUAAGUCAGUGGUGAAAGCCCAUCGCUCAACGGUGGAACGGCCAUUGAUACUGCUAGACUUGAAUUAUUAGGAAGUAACUAGAAUAUGUAGUGUAGCGGUGAAAUGCUUAGAGAUUACAUGGAAUACCAAUUGCGAAGGCAGGUUACUACUAAUGGAUUGACGCUGAUGGACGAAAGCGUGGGUAGCGAACAGGAUUAGAUACCCUGGCAGUCCACGCCGUAAACGAUGGAUACUAGCUGUUGGGAGCAAUUUCAGUGGCUAAGCGAAAGUGAUAAGUAUCCCACCUGGGGAGUACGUUCGCAAGAAUGAAACUCAAAGGAAUUGACGGGGGCCCGCACAAGCGGUGGAGCAUGUGGUUUAAUUCGAUG
RNAcentral lists this ribosomal RNA (892 nucleotides) under uncultured bacterium. RNAcentral's name for it is "bacterial SSU rRNA". It matches the Rfam family "Bacterial small subunit ribosomal RNA", at positions 57 to 956 of the family's 1533-position model. The record is from RNAcentral.